AAACCCUUCGGCGGUCAAUUUUUAUUGCCACCGGUGCUGGCGGCGGGCGGUUCCCCCCACGGGGGAACCCCCCCGCUUAAACCUGACGGCGGGGCAGCUGGUUCAGCCGCAACAAUAGUAGUGAUAUUUUUGUUAAGGCUCCACCCAACUACCUCCAUCAAAUAGAAGGCCAUUUCCAGUGGCCUCGACUUU
RNAcentral lists this unclassified non-coding RNA (192 nucleotides) under uncultured Orbiliales. RNAcentral's name for it is "sequence contains ITS2". The record is from RNAcentral. Lineage: Eukaryota; Fungi; Ascomycota; Orbiliomycetes; Orbiliales.